Molecule: long non-coding RNA, 1374 nt
Filed under: Lathyrus oleraceus (garden pea)
Lineage: Eukaryota; Viridiplantae; Streptophyta; Magnoliopsida; Fabales; Fabaceae
Description: Pisum sativum (pea) long non-coding RNA (PSAT_LNC003143)
Source: RNAcentral
UAGUGAUGACGAGUCGUCGUAGUUGCUGUAGAGGGAAUGGAUAGGGUAAGCAUUUUGUUUUCUAGUUAGCAAAAUGUAUGAAUGCAUGACUGUAUAGAUGCAUGUAAGUAAAAAGAAAAAUAUUUCUAGGGUGUCAGUGUGCAUAUAUAGUCAUACAAUGAGUAGGAGUAAGACAUCAAAAGUAUUUCAACAAAAUAAACUCCUGAUGGGUAAAAUGGUCAUUUCACAAGGAUUAUUUCAAUUAGGAACACAAAAUUAAUUCUAACUAGAAAAUAUAAUUAGAAUCUAAAAUUGAUUAAAUCUUAAAAUCUAAAUUAACCUAAUGUUAGGAAUUAAUUAAAUUCCAACAUCCAUUAAAAUUUGAAUCCUAAUUUUAAUCUAAUUAAACAUUCUAUACUAAUCUCCUAAAUUCUAAUCAAAUUCUAAAAACUAAUUAAUCCAUCAAGUUUCAAAAAACCUAAUUACUAAAUAUAAUUUAAAGUCCUAAUCACUAAUUUAAAAACCCUAAUUAGAAGCCCAAAUCUCUAAUUACUAACUGCAAACCCCUAAUUGCUAAUCAACCUAAUAAAGUCAAGAAUCUGGCCCAACUACUGGAUAUGGGCUCUCAGGAAGCGUAAAAGGGGUCUAGGCCCAGUGGUCUGGAUGCUGGAACAUGUUUUGGUCAGAAAAUGGGCCUUAGGCCCAAGAAGCAAACAAAAAUCCAAGGCGUUGGAGGAACGGAGGGGUGCAUGGACCCGUUGGAGGAUGACGCCACUGAAGGUUGGUUGAGCCUAAUAGAUGUUAUUACCCUAAACGAAAAAACUCUCCCUUGACAAAAAAAUCCAAAACGGACCUUCAAUAAUUGAAAUUGAAUGACCUUUUGUUACACGCUCACUACCCACCGUCUCCGAUCAGAUGACCAUCGCGGGCCACCGCACCGAAAACCGCUUUCGGCGGCGGUGGCCACCAAGACACAAACCAGAUAUCACAUUAAGAUCGUCUCCACCUCCUUAAACCUAAUCUUCUCUCAAUUCCAAACAAAAAUUUGAUCUAACAUCCCAAUUCGUAUUAAAGAUCUCAAGAACCCUAGAGGUUCAAUCGCGAAUUACAUAGUGAGGCUCAAGACUCAGCGCCCUAACUGUUAGGGCUUUGAGUCGUCCUUAAAUAAGCUACAAGAUGACAACAUGGUUGCAGUUAAAGAGUGAGUGGGAACCUACCUCUGAAGUUGAGGAUCACUCCGACAAAAAGUUGAAUCGGAGAAGACGAAAUAGGUGACGAAAAAUCACUUGAUUAGCAAGUACGAACUCGUAUAUCUCUUCUUCUGCUUUCACUUCUUCUUUAAAUCAAUUCUUCUUCGUCUAAAUCUCUAUGGUGAGAUUGAGCUGAGAAGGAUUC